Molecule: ribosomal RNA, 909 nt
Filed under: Ceratocystis fimbriata
Lineage: Eukaryota; Fungi; Ascomycota; Sordariomycetes; Microascales; Ceratocystidaceae
Description: LSU rRNA
Rfam family: Eukaryotic large subunit ribosomal RNA
Source: RNAcentral
GCAUAUCAAUAAGCGGAGGAAAAGAAACCAACAGGGAUUGCCCUAGUAACGGCGAGUGAAGCGGCAACAGCUCAAAUUUGAAAUCUGGCUACAUCCCGUAGUCCGAGUUGUAAUUUGUAGAGGAUGCUUUUGGUGAGGUGCCUUCCGAGUUCCCUGGAACGGGACGCCAUAGAGGGUGAGAGCCCCGUACGGUUGGAUACCAAGCCUCUGUAUAGCUCCUUCAACGAGUCGAGUAGUUUGGGAAUGCUGCUCUAAAUGGGAGGUAUAUCUCUUCUAAAGCUAAAUAUAGGCUAGAGACCGAUAGCGCACAAGUAGAGUGAUCGAAAGAUGAAAAGCACUUUGAAAAGAGAGUUAAACAGCACGUGAAAUUGUUGAAAGGGAAGCGCCUAUGACCAGACUUGUUUCUGGCAGUUUCGUUAGCCCUCGGGCUGAUUUACUCUGUCCAGUACAGGCCAGCAUCAGUUUGCUGUCGGGGAGAAAGGCUCUGGGAACGUAGCUCCCCCCUUCUGGGGGGAGUGUUAUAGCCCUCUGCAUAAUACCCUUCGGCAGACUGAGGACCGCGCUUCGGCAAGGAUGCUGGCGUAAUGGUCAUCAGCGACCCGUCUUGAAACACGGACCAAGGAGUCAACCUUAUGUGCGAGUGUUUGGGUGUAAAACCCCAGCGCGUAAUGAAAGUGAACGUAGGUGAGAGCUUCGGCGCAUCAUCGACCGAUUCUGAUGUUUUCGGAUGGAUUUGAGUAAGAGCACACAGGGUUGGACCCGAAAGAAGGUGAACUAUGCUUGUAUAGGGUGAAGCCAGAGGAAACUCUGGUGGAGGCUCGCAGCGGUUCUGACGUGCAAAUCGAUCGUCAAAUAUGAGCAUGGGGGCGAAAGACUAAUCGAACCUUCUAGUAGCUGGUUCCAGCCGAA